Long non-coding RNA from Oncorhynchus mykiss (rainbow trout), 426 nucleotides. RefSeq lists it as uncharacterized. The record is from RefSeq and is a predicted model, not a curated record. NCBI's taxonomy places the organism in Eukaryota, Metazoa, Chordata, Actinopteri, Salmoniformes, Salmonidae.
CUGAGUUUAGGUUGUGAUGACUUGAGUUAAUUAUAUUGAGAGCAUGUGUUUGCUGAAUGAACAUAUAGUGCAAUUAAUGAUUUAUUUGGCCACUUUUGUGUAAGGUUUUGCAGAAAGAGUUUUGAAUAUUGAAACGUGUGGAAACAGGAACCAGUUUUUGUGUUUAAGCAAUCAAGAAAAACUGAAAUAAAUUGUUGCUGACGAGACGCUGAUCAUGUGAAGAGUUUGGAAGUCAAAUGCCCAAUUGUGGUGCCACCAGACAGCAGAAAACAAGUUGGUACCUCCAGCAGGCAGAGAGGCAAGAACCAUUCUUCCACCAGUUCAGGGACAAGCUACACUAUUCAUAAUACUGUGUAAUGCUCAAUGUAAUUGCAGUGCUGGUCUUUUUUAAACUGAAUGUAUUUGUAUUGUUUAAAAAAUUGACAA